AGUCGUUGAAUUUCUUAUUAUUUACAUAUCAUCAUCUUCAAACCCCACUCUUUUUCUCUUUCACCAUUUACGUAUGUACUAUUAUCACACCAGCUGAUCUCAAUCUCAAAUUCUCAAUUCAAACCCUAACGCUAUCAAAUCGCUCAGUUCGAACGAAGAUUCAGCACAUUUCUCUCUCAGAUCUCUCAUUCGGAUCUUCCGGUUCAACAUUCACUCACGGAUUUCACAUCAAAAACCUAAUUUUAAUCUUCAAAAAUGCCUCUCAGACUCGAGAUCAAGAGGAAACUUGCUCAAAGAUCAGAGAGAGUAAAAUCUGUGGAUCUACAUCCAACAGAGCCAUGGAUCCUCACAAGUUUGUAUUCAGGAACGGUCUGCAUCUGGGAUUACCAGGCUCAGGCAAUAGCAAAGUCCUUUGAGGUUACUGAGUUACCAGUCAGAUCAGCAAAGUUUGUAGCCCGCAAGCAGUGGGUUGUUGCAGGUGCAGAUGACAUGUUUAUCCGGGUGUACAAUUACAAUACAAUGGAUAAAGUCAAAGUUUACGAGGCCCAUACAGAUUAUAUCCGGUGUGUGGCAGUCCACCCUACACUCCCGUAUAUCUUAUCAUGUUCUGAUGACAUGCUUAUAAAGCUUUGGGACUGGGAAAAAAGUUGGUAUUGUACUCAAAUAUUUGAGGGACACUCACAUUAUGUCAUGCAAGUGACGAUUAAUCCAAAAGACACAAAUACUUUUGCAAGCGCUUCACUUGAUCGCACGAUAAAGAUCUGGAAUCUUGGCUCACCUGAUCCUAACUUCACACUAGAUGCCCAUCUUAAAGGUGUGAACUGUGUGGAUUAUUUCACAGGUGGUGAUAAACCUUAUCUAAUUACUGGAUCCGAUGAUCAUACUGCUAAGGUGUGGGAUUACCAAACCAAAACAUGUGUCCAGACUUUAGAAGGUCACACACACAACGUUUCAGCUGUAAGCUUUCACCCGGAACUGCCUAUAAUAAUUACGGGUUCCGAGGAUGGUACUGUACGUAUAUGGCAUUCAACUACUUAUAGACUUGAGAACACUUUGAAUUAUGGACUUGAAAGGGUUUGGGCUAUUGGAUGCAUGAAAGGUUCACGGCGGAUUGCUUUUGGUUAUGAUGAAGGGACCAUAAUGGUGAAAGUUGGUAGAGAAGAGCCUGUAGCUAGCAUGGACAACAGUGGAAAAAUUAUAUGGGCUAAGCAUAAUGAAAUUCAAACCGUAAACAUCAGGAGUGUGGGAGCUGAUUAUGAGGUCUCUGAUGGGGAGAGAUUGCCUUUAGCAGUUAAAGAGUUGGGAACAUGUGAUCUUUACCCACAAAGCUUGAAACACAACCCGAAUGGUAGGUUUGUUGUUGUCUGUGGUGAUGGUGAAUACAUCAUAUAUACAGCUUUGGCAUGGAGAAAUAGAUCCUUUGGUUCUGCAUUGGAGAUUGUUUGGUCAUCUGAUGGUGAAUAUGCUGUUAGAGAGAGUACAACUAAAAUAAAGAUUUUUAACAAAUCUUUUCAGGAAAAGAAGAGUAUCCGACCAACAUUUUCUUGUGAGCGCAUAUACGGAGGAUCUUUGUUGGCAAUGUGUUCAAAUGAUUUUAUAUGUUUCUAUGAUUGGGCCGAGUGCAGAUUGAUUCAACGAAUUGAUGUUAAUAUCAAGAACCUCUACUGGGCAGACAGUGGUGAUAUGGUGGCGAUUGCCAGUGAUUCAUCAUUCUACAUACUGCAGUACAAUCGUGAUGUCGUGUCAGCACAUCUAGAUAGUGGAAAAUCUGUAGAUGAGGAAGGUAUUGAAGACUCCUUUACAAUUCUUUCUGAAGUCAGCGAGAGAGUUAGAACUGGAUUGUGGGUUGGGGACUGUUUUAUCUACAAUAAUUCUUCAUGGCGACUUAAUUAUUGUGUUGGCGGUGAGGUAACCACAAUGUUCCAUUUGGACCGGCCAAUGUACCUUCUUGGGUAUCUAGCUAAUCAAAGCAGGGUUUAUCUCAUCGACAAGGAAUUCAAUGUCAUUGGAUACACGUUACUGCUCACACUGAUAGAGUACAAGACACUUGUGAUGCGCGGAGAUCUAGAACGAGCUAAUGAUGUAUUUCCUACAAUUCCAAAAGAGCAUCAUAAUAGUGUUGCUCACUUUUUGGAAUCACGAGGAAUGAUUGAGGAAGCUCUAGAUGUUGCUACUGAUCCCGACUAUAGAUUUGAGCUUGCCAUUCAGCUUGGCAAACUAGAAACCGCAAGGGAUAUUGCCGUAGUAGCACAAAGCGAGUCGAAAUGGAAGCAGUUGGGUGAAUUAGCUAUGUCUGCUGGACUGUUGGAGAUGGCUGAAGAUUGUUUGAAGCAUGCAAAUGACUUGAGUGGUCUGCUUCUGCUUUACUCUUCUUUGGGAGAUGCUGAAGAGAUAGCAAAACUUGCGUAUCUCGCUAAAGACAGUGGAAAAAACAAUGUUGCCUUUGCUUGUCUAUUCAUGCUGGGUAAAUUGGAAGAUUGUCUGCAGUUGUUGGUUGACAGCAAUCGGAUACCUGAAGCUGCUCUGAUGGCACGGUCUUAUCUUCCAAGCAAGGUUUCAGAAAUAGUUGCUCUUUGGAGAAAAGACCUUAACAAGGUUAACCAGAAAGCAGCAGAAUCUUUAGCAGAUCCUGAAGAGUACCCAAAUAUGUUUGAGGACUGGCAAAUUGCACUUGAAGUUGAAGCAAGAGCUGCAGAUACAAGGGGUAUUUAUCCUCCAGCAACAGAGUAUGUGAACUAUGUGGAUAGAUCACAUGUCAACCUUGUGGAAGUCUUCAAACACAUGCAAUUGGAUGAUGAAGAGCCACAUGAAAAUGGAGAGCUGAAUCAUGAGCUACAGGGUGUAGAAGAAAACGAAAACGAAGGGGAAUUUGUUGAUGGUGAAGAAAUUGAGCAAGAAGAAGAUGCCGUUGCAAUGGAUAACGAUUCUUCAGAUGGUCCUGUACUCGUUAACGGUAACGAGACUGAAGAAGAGUGGGGUACGAAUAAUGCAGGAAAUCCUUCAGCCUAAAAGCAAUUGGUUGGUUGGGGCAGUAUGAAAAUUCCUAAUUUUAUGUGCUUACACCGCUUCCGUAAGUCGACUCCUGAUGUUUCUUGAUUUGCACACUCCUUCAGGUAUCUGUUCAUGGUGUAAUUGUGUAAGCGCGUUGCUUUUUGUAUUUUGGGACAUAUAAUAUCAUAUAUACACUUCACCUUCGGGUUAGUAUUCGAGUUUAGUUACUCUCUAGGGGCACACAUUAUUGAUUUUUUAGGCGAUAAUUUUUCUUUUUCAAAUAAUAUUAAGUGUUACUGUGAAUGUAAAAAAACAACUAUAGGGGGUGUGAGCAGACGAAGAUUAUAUAGGUAUUUUUAUCUAAUUGUAAAUUUUCAUUUUGUACUCUGUUAGGAUUCUUUUAUUUUCUGGUGUGCUGUUGAUUUUAUGCAAUUUAA
Molecule: RNA transcript, 3428 nt
Organism: Helianthus annuus (common sunflower)
Lineage: Eukaryota; Viridiplantae; Streptophyta; Magnoliopsida; Asterales; Asteraceae
Gene name: coatomer subunit beta'-1
Exons: 26
Source: RefSeq, a predicted model, not a curated record